RNAcentral lists this ribosomal RNA (253 nucleotides) under uncultured bacterium. RNAcentral describes it as "partial 16S ribosomal RNA". It matches the Rfam family "Bacterial small subunit ribosomal RNA", at positions 524 to 776 of the family's 1533-position model. The record is from RNAcentral.
UACAGAGGGUGCAAGCGUUGUUCGGAAUUAUUGGGCGUAAAGCGCGUGUAGGCGGCUUUGCAAGUCGGGUGUGAAAGCCCUGGGCUCAACCCAGGAAGUGCGCCCGAAACUGCAUUGCUUGAGUACCGGAGAGGGUGGCGGAAUUCCCCAAGUAGAGGUGAAAUUCGUAGAUAUCGGGAGGAGCACCAGUGGCGAAGGCGGCGACCUGGACAGAUAUUGACGCUGAGGUGCGAAAGCGUGGGGAGCAAACAGG